GACGAACGCUGGCGGCGUGCUUAACACAUGCAAGUCGAACGGUAAGGCCCUUCGGGGUACACGAGUGGCGAACGGGUGAGUAACACGUGGGUGAUCUGCCCUGCACUUCGGGAUAAGCCUGGGAAACUGGGUCUAAUACCGGAUAGGACCCUGGGAUGCAUGUCCUGGGGUGGAAAGCUUUUGCGGUGUGGGAUGGGCCCGCGGCCUAUCAGAUUGUUGGUGGGGGGAUGGCCUAACAAGGCGACGACGGGGAGCCGGCCGGAGAGGGUGACCGGCCACACUGGGACUGAGAUACGGCCCAGACUCCUACUGGAGGCAGCAGUGGGGAAUAUUGCACAAUGGGCGCAAGCCUGAUGCAGCGACGCCGCGUGAGGGAUGACGGCCUUCGGGUUGUAAACCUCUUUCAGCACCGACGAAGCGCAAGUGACGGUAGGUGCAGAAGAAGGACCGGCCAACUACGUGCCAGCCGCCGCUGUAA
Molecule: ribosomal RNA, 478 nt
Filed under: uncultured bacterium
Lineage: Bacteria
Description: partial 16S ribosomal RNA
Rfam family: Bacterial small subunit ribosomal RNA
Source: RNAcentral